RNAcentral lists this long non-coding RNA (209 nucleotides) under Ananas comosus (pineapple). RNAcentral describes it as "long non-coding RNA (ACOM_LNC012869)". The record is from RNAcentral. Lineage: Eukaryota; Viridiplantae; Streptophyta; Magnoliopsida; Poales; Bromeliaceae.
UUUGCUUUCUGAAAAGCCUUACCGGACAAAACGUGUAAGCAAAUGUUUACAAAUUACAGUAUAUAUAGGCUCAACAUUAUUUUUUCAGAAUAAGAUAAAAUCCAUUAAGUAUAGUCGGAAACGUUUACAAAUUACAGGAUAUACAGGCUCAACAUUAUUUCUUCUGAAUAAGAUAAAAUCCAUUAAAUAUAGUCGGAACAUACUGUUCU